CCUACGGGGGGCAGCAGUGAGGAAUAUUGGUCAAUGGGCGCAAGCCUGAACCAGCCAAGUCGCGUGAGGGAUGACGGUCCUAUGGAUUGUAAACCUCUUUUGUCGGGGAGCAAGGCCCGCCACGUGUGGCGGGAAGGAGAGUACCCGAAGAAAAAGCAUCGGCUAACUCCGUGCAAGCAGCCGCGGUAAUACGGAGGAUGCGAGCGUUCUCCGGAUUUAUUGGGUUUAAAGGGUGCGUAGGCGGAAGGUUAAGUCCGUGGUAAAAUGUCGGUGCUCAACACCGGCCUGCCGUUGAAACUGGGCGUCUUGAGUGAGCGAGAAGUAGGCGGAAUGCGUGGUGUAGCGGUGAAAUGCAUAGAGAGCACGCAGAACUCCGAUUGCGAAGGCAGCAUACCGGCGCUCAACUGACGCUGAGGCACGAAAGCGUGGGGAUCGAACAGGAUUAGAUACCCUUGUAGUC
Molecule: ribosomal RNA, 460 nt
Filed under: uncultured bacterium
Lineage: Bacteria
Description: partial 16S ribosomal RNA
Rfam family: Bacterial small subunit ribosomal RNA
Source: RNAcentral